This 1356-nucleotide long non-coding RNA is filed under the name Marmota monax (woodchuck). The record is from RNAcentral. Lineage: Eukaryota; Metazoa; Chordata; Mammalia; Rodentia; Sciuridae.
GAAACGUGACAGGCUGGGCCUAGAUUCCAAGUCUGAGCUGAACUUGGCAGAACGGAGACCUUGCUGUGCCGCCUCCAGCAGGACCCACCGCAGGCCCUGGGCAGCAGCGCUGUUCCCAGCUCGCUGUGUGACUUUAGGCAACCCUCUGUGCCUCUCUGAGCAUCAGCUUCCUCAUCCAAAGAGGGUGGGGGAAGAAGCCCCCUGUGGAGGCACACAGCCCUCGGGAGGGCUGAGGAGCAGGCCAACACGGCCACAGGCACACCCGCACGCUCACUCGCAUGCUCACACCGCCCGAGUGCUCGGUCACGGGCUGCAAACCGCGUAGCUCAGCUGUGUGGAUCUGGGGAGUCCAGGGAGUCCACCUGGCCACGCCUGCGGAGCCGCACAGCCUCGUGCACCCGGCACAUACCCGUUCCCACCCCCACCCCAUGGGCUCCAGCACCUCCGUGAGGCCUGGCGGACACCAGUGUCCUCUGGUCGGAUGACCUUGAGGAGAGACAGGACAGCUGCCUGGCAGGGAGGAGGGAGUGGGCAUCCUGAGGGGGCCGCUGAGAGCAGGAGAGUCCAGUCCCGGCCCUGUCCUCGGGGGCCCCACCUGAGCAGGCCCUUGACACCCUGAUCACACUCUUCCUGAUGCCUGAAUGCCGUGCCGGGCACCAAGGCCAGAGGCAGACCUGACACAUCUGGGGUGCCCAGUGACUCCUGGAAGUCACCACAGGUCCCAGGGCCCUUGUUCACCCCAAGCCCUGCCUGGCCCAAUGAGCAGGGAGGAAGAAGACGGCCUGUACAGGCUGCUGGGGGCUCCGUCCAGCCUCCCGGGCAGCCAGGUGGCCAGCCAUCUGCAGCCUUCCCUCGAUGCCUCUGGCACGGCCAGGCCUGGUGCUGGCCAUGUGGGGGCCGUGUGCCGGUGGCCGGUCUGGCCCGGCAGGCUGCCUGGAGGCCAUCUUGAGGGGGCAUCUGCACACAGCCAGGUCUCGGGCCGUCCCCCGCUGUCCUGGUGAGUGGCAGCCCUGCUCUGGGGACCUGGGGCUUUGGGAUGAGAGCCGCCUUCCCCACCCAUCGUCCUUGGUAAACAGCAGGUGCCUCCUAGUGCUGGUUGGGGCGAAGCCUCGAACACAGCACGUGUUUUGCCGAGCGCCUCCCGGGGCUGAGGACAGCCAUGCUGGGCAGACCAGGGCGGCACGCCUGCUGGCCAAGGCUGGUGACAAGUGACCACCAAGGGCUCAGAGCGCCUACUGUAUGCCAGGGGCAGGGACAGAGCAGUGACCGAGGAAGACAUGGUCCUUGCCCACAGGGUGCUCACAGCUUCAGGCGGGUGGGGGCCGGUGACAGGGGAUGCUGUCCCCUGAAGCAAAG